GACGAACGCUGGCGGCGUGCUUAACACAUGCAAGUCGAACGAAGAGCGAUGGAAGCUUGCUUCUAUCAAUCUUAGUGGCGCACGGGUGAGUAACGCGUAAUCAACCUGCCCUUCAGAGGGGGACAACAGUUGGAAACGACUGCUAAUACCGCAUACGAUCUAAUCUCGGCAUCGAGGAUAGAUGAAAGGUGGCCUCUACAUGUAAGCUAUCACUGAAGGAGGGGAUUGCGUCUGAUUAGCUAGUUGGAGGGGUAACGGCCCACCAAGGCGAUGAUCAGUAGCCGGUCUGAGAGGAUGAACGGCCACAUUGGGACUGAGACACGGCCCAGACCCCUACGGGAGGCAGCAGUGGGGAAUCUUCCGCAAUGGACGAAAGUCUGACGAAGCAACGCCGCGUGAGUGAUGACGGCCUUCGGGUUGUAAAGCUCUGUUAAUCGGGACGAAAGGCCUUCUUGCGAAUAGUGAGAAGGAUUGACGGUACCGGAAUAGAAAGCCACGGCUAACUACGUG
Molecule: ribosomal RNA, 510 nt
Filed under: uncultured bacterium
Lineage: Bacteria
Description: partial 16S ribosomal RNA
Rfam family: Bacterial small subunit ribosomal RNA
Source: RNAcentral